RNAcentral lists this ribosomal RNA (426 nucleotides) under uncultured bacterium. RNAcentral describes it as "bacterial SSU rRNA". It matches the Rfam family "Bacterial small subunit ribosomal RNA", at positions 64 to 507 of the family's 1533-position model. The record is from RNAcentral.
GAACGAGAAAGUGGAGCAAUCCAUGAGUAAAGUGGCGACCGGGUGAGUAACACGUGACUAACCUGCCCUAGAGUGGGGGAUAACCUCGGGAAACCGGGGCUAAUACCGCAUAACAUCACGAGGGGAAGAUCCUUGUGAUCAAAGGAGCAAUUCGCUAAAGGAGGGGGUCGCGGCUGAUUAGUUAGUUGGUGAGGUAACGGCUCACCAAGACUUAGAUCAGUAGCCGGCCUGAGAGGGCGCACGGCCACACUGGAACUGAAACACGGUCCAGACUCCUACGGGAGGCAGCAGUGGGGAAUUUUGCGCAAUGGGGGAAACCCUGACGCAGCAACGCCGCGUGGAGGAUGAAGUCCCUUGGGAUGUAAACUCCUUUCGAUCGGGACGAUUAUGACGGUACCGGAAGAAGAAGCACCGGCUAACUCUGUG